AUUGAACGCUGGCGGCAUGCCUUACACAUGCAAGUCGAACGGUAACAGGUUAAGCUGACGAGUGGCGAACGGGUGAGUAAUAUAUCGGAACGUGCCCAGUCGUGGGGGAUAACGUAGCGAAAGCUACGCUAAUACCGCAUACGAUCUACGGAUGAAAGAGGGGGAUCGCAAGACCUCGCGCGAUUGGAGCGGCCGAUAUCAGAUUAGGUUGUUGGUGAGGUAAAAGCUCACCAAGCCUGCGAUCUGUAGCUGGUCUGAGAGGACGACCAGCCACACUGGAACUGAGACACGGUCCAGACUCCUACGGGAGGCAGCAGUGGGGAAUUUUGGACAAUGGACGCAAGUCUGAUCCAGCAAUGCCGCGUGCAGGACGAAGGCCUUCGGGUUGUAAACUGCUUUUGUACGGAACGAAACGGUGAACUCUAAUACAGUUUGCUAAUGACGGUACCGUAAGAAUAAGCACCGGCUAACUACGUGCCAGCAGCCGCGGUAA
This 493-nucleotide ribosomal RNA is filed under the name uncultured bacterium. RNAcentral describes it as "partial 16S ribosomal RNA". It matches the Rfam family "Bacterial small subunit ribosomal RNA", at positions 30 to 523 of the family's 1533-position model. The record is from RNAcentral.